RNAcentral lists this ribosomal RNA (406 nucleotides) under uncultured bacterium. RNAcentral describes it as "partial 16S ribosomal RNA". It matches the Rfam family "Bacterial small subunit ribosomal RNA", at positions 28 to 526 of the family's 1533-position model. The record is from RNAcentral.
GAUGAACGCUAGCUACAGGCUUAACACAUGCAAGUCGAGUGACCGGCGCACGGGCGAGUAACAUGUAUCCAACCUGCCCUUUACUCGGCGAUAGCCUUUCGAAAGAAAGAUUAAUACCCGAUAUAAAGGAUGGGGAUGCGUUCCAUUAGGUUGUUGGUGAGGUAACGGCCCACCAAGCCUUCGAUGGAUAGGGGUUCUGAGAGGAAGGUCGCACACAUUGGAACUGGGACACAGGCCAAACUCCUACUGGAGGCAACAGUGGGGAGUAUUGGUAAAUGGGCACUAGCCUGAACCUGCCAAGUAGCAUGAAGGAUUAAGGCUUAUGGGUCGUAAACUUGUUUUUUAUAAAAAUGGGUAUUAUAUGAAUAGUGAUCGGGUAACUCCGUGCCAGCAGCCGCGGUAAUUC